AGCUUUAAAUUCAGUUUCAAUCCAUGUAUGCAAGCAGAUUCAAUUAAUCACACUAAGCAUGACAAUGAACUGGAGCUAAGCAUAUUAAUCACAUUCAGUCACCAAACAAAGCUCUUAAAGUAUCCUGGGACAGAUUCUAAACAUUUUAAUUUAUCAAUCUCUAACAAUCCUCAGGUUUUCAAUCACACCACACAUUAUAACCAGUCAAAAACACAA
Molecule: long non-coding RNA, 216 nt
Filed under: Brassica napus (rape)
Lineage: Eukaryota; Viridiplantae; Streptophyta; Magnoliopsida; Brassicales; Brassicaceae
Description: long non-coding RNA (BNAP_LNC002529)
Source: RNAcentral